This 460-nucleotide ribosomal RNA is filed under the name uncultured bacterium. Its description in RNAcentral is "partial 16S ribosomal RNA". It matches the Rfam family "Bacterial small subunit ribosomal RNA", at positions 338 to 795 of the family's 1533-position model. The record is from RNAcentral.
CCUACGGGGGGCAGCAGUGAGGAAUAUUGGUCAAUGGACGAGAGUCUGAACCAGCCAAGUAGCGUGAAGGAUGACUGCCCUAUGGGUUGUAAACUUCUUUUAAAUGGGAAUAAAAUGUUCCACGUGUGGGAUUUUGUAUGUACCAUAUGAAUAAGGAUCGGCUAACUCCGUGCCAGCAGCCGCGGUAAUACGGAGGAUCCGAGCGUUAUCCGGAUUUAUUGGGUUUAAAGGGAGCGUAGGUGGAUUGUUAAGUCAGUUGUGAAAGUUUGCGGCUCAACCGUAAAAUUGCAGUUGAAACUGGCAGUCUUGAGUACAGUAGAGGUGGGCGGAAUUCGUGGUGUAGCGGUGAAAUGCUUAGAUAUCACGAAGAACUCCGAUUGCGAAGGCAGUUCACUGGACUGCAACUGACACUGAGGCUCGAAAGUGUGGGUAUCAAACAGGAUUAGAUACCCCAGUAGUC